Molecule: long non-coding RNA, 201 nt
Filed under: Lathyrus oleraceus (garden pea)
Lineage: Eukaryota; Viridiplantae; Streptophyta; Magnoliopsida; Fabales; Fabaceae
Description: Pisum sativum (pea) long non-coding RNA (PSAT_LNC041857)
Source: RNAcentral
AACCAAACACAAUAAUUUAAAACAUAAACAAUAACCAUCACUUCAAAAUGUUAAAAUGUGCGUGGGGGACAAAACACCCCAAAAAGUACAUAACCAACUACCAAAUAUCUGAAAAUAAAAGAAAAUAAAACAUAACAUAAAAAAAACAAACUUUGUCCUCAUAGGACUCAGAACCCUCUUCACUUCCGGCCUCAGAACCGG